CUGGCGACCGGCGCACGGGUGAGUAACACGUAUCCAACCUGCCGAUAACUCGGGGAUAGCCUUUCGAAAGAAAGAUUAAUACCCGAUGGCAUAGUUCUUCCGCAUGGUGGAACUAUUAAAGAAUUUCGGUUAUCGAUGGGGAUGCGUUCCAUUAGGUUGUUGGUGGGGUAACGGCUCACCUAGGCGACGAUCCCUAGCUGGUCUGAGAGGAUGACCAGCCACACUGGAACUGAGACACGGUCCAGACUCCUACGGGAGGCAGCAUG
Molecule: ribosomal RNA, 266 nt
Filed under: uncultured bacterium
Lineage: Bacteria
Description: partial 16S ribosomal RNA
Rfam family: Bacterial small subunit ribosomal RNA
Source: RNAcentral